RNAcentral lists this transfer RNA (72 nucleotides) under Flavipsychrobacter stenotrophus. It matches the Rfam family "tRNA". Rfam says of the family: Transfer RNA (tRNA) molecules are approximately 80 nucleotides in length. Lineage: Bacteria; Pseudomonadati; Bacteroidota; Chitinophagia; Chitinophagales; Chitinophagaceae. The record is from Rfam by way of RNAcentral.
GGUCCUGUAGUACAAUGGAUAGUAUAAGAGUUUCCGAAGCUCCAGAUCCAGGUUCGAUUCCUGGCAAGACCA